This 191-nucleotide unclassified non-coding RNA is filed under the name rhizosphere metagenome. Its description in RNAcentral is "partial ribosomal RNA internal transcribed spacer region". The record is from RNAcentral.
GUGUUCGCUGCCCUCACGGGUAGCAAACCUCACCCUUGUGUAUUAUAUCUUUGUUGCUUUGGCACGCCGCCUUCGGGUACCGGCUUCGGCUGGCUCGCGCGUGUCAGAGAACCUAAAACUCUGAAUGUUAGUGUCGUCUGAGUAAACUUAAUUAAUAAAUUAAAACUUUUAACAACGGAUCUCUUGGUUCU